AAUAUAUGACGCCGUUUGUUUUUUUAUGAAUGUUUGACCGUUCGUCUUAUUUAAAACUUUAUGUAAUUAUCAUUUGUUUUAUUGUGACUUGAUUUAUCAUUAAAUGUUCUUUAAGCAUGACAUAAAUAUGUUUAUAUUUGCAUAAAAAUUUUAAAUAAGACGAAUGGUCAAACGUUGAUUAAAAAGUCAACGAUGUCAUACAU
Molecule: microRNA precursor, 203 nt
Filed under: Oryza barthii
Lineage: Eukaryota; Viridiplantae; Streptophyta; Magnoliopsida; Poales; Poaceae
Description: MIR812 microRNA precursor family
Rfam family: MIR812 microRNA precursor family
Source: Rfam by way of RNAcentral